GUGCUUGCUUCAGCAGCACAUGUACUAAAAUUGGAACAAUGCAAAUAACAUUAGCAUGGCCCCUGUGGAAGGAUGACGCACAAAUUCAUGACGAGAUGUGUCU
Molecule: small nuclear RNA, 103 nt
Organism: Dromiciops gliroides (monito del monte)
Lineage: Eukaryota; Metazoa; Chordata; Mammalia; Microbiotheria; Microbiotheriidae
Source: RefSeq, a predicted model, not a curated record